AUAAUGGUUUUAUUUAAAACCAUGCAAAGAAAUAAAAUAAUUUGU
This is a non-coding RNA of Pongo abelii (Sumatran orangutan), 45 nucleotides long. NCBI's taxonomy places the organism in Eukaryota, Metazoa, Chordata, Mammalia, Primates, Hominidae. The record is from Rfam.